Molecule: ribosomal RNA, 1034 nt
Filed under: Vibrio alginolyticus
Lineage: Bacteria; Pseudomonadati; Pseudomonadota; Gammaproteobacteria; Vibrionales; Vibrionaceae
Description: bacterial SSU rRNA
Rfam family: Bacterial small subunit ribosomal RNA
Source: RNAcentral
UUUGACGUUAGCGACAGAAGAAGCACCGGCUAACUCCGUGCCAGCAGCCGCGGUAAUACGGAGGGUGCGAGCGUUAAUCGGAAUUACUGGGCGUAAAGCGCAUGCAGGUGGUUUGUUAAGUCAGAUGUGAAAGCCCGGGGCUCAACCUCGGAAUWGCAUUUGAAACUGGCAGACUAGAGUACUGUAGAGGGGGGUAGAAUUUCAGGUGUAGCGGUGAAAUGCGUAGAGAUCUGAAGGAAUACCGGUGGCGAAGGCGGCCCCCUGGACAGAUACUGACACUCAGAUGCGAAAGCGUGGGGAGCAAACAGGAUUAGAUACCCUGGUAGUCCACGCCGUAAACGAUGUCUACUUGGAGGUUGUGGCCUUGAGCCGUGGCUUUCGGAGCUAACGCGUUAAGUAGACCGCCUGGGGAGUACGGUCGCAAGAUUAAAACUCAAAUGAAUUGACGGGGGCCCGCACAAGCGGUGGAGCAUGUGGUUUAAUUCGAUGCAACGCGAAGAACCUUACCUACUCUUGACAUCCAGAGAACUUUCCAGAGAUGGAUUGGUGCCUUCGGGAACUCUGAGACAGGUGCUGCAUGGCUGUCGUCAGCUCGUGUUGUGAAAUGUUGGGUUAAGUCCCGCAACGAGCGCAACCCUUAUCCUUGUUUGCCAGCGAGUAAUGUCGGGAACUCCAGGGAGACUGCCGGUGAUAAACCGGAGGAAGGUGGGGACGACGUCAAGUCAUCAUGGCCCUUACGAGUAGGGCUACACACGUGCUACAAUGGCGCAUACAGAGGGCGGCCAACUUGCGAAAGUGAGCGAAUCCCAAAAAGUGCGUCGUAGUCCGGAUUGGAGUCUGCAACUCGACUCCAUGAAGUCGGAAUCGCUAGUAAUCGUGGAUCAGAAUGCCACGGUGAAUACGUUCCCGGGCCUUGUACACACCGCCCGUCACACCAUGGGAGUGGGCUGCAAAAGAAGUAGGUAGUUUAACCUUCGGGGGGACGCUUACCACUUUGUGGUUCAUGACUGGGGUGAAGUCGUAACAAGGUAGCG